Molecule: ribosomal RNA, 492 nt
Filed under: uncultured bacterium
Lineage: Bacteria
Description: partial 16S ribosomal RNA
Rfam family: Bacterial small subunit ribosomal RNA
Source: RNAcentral
AGUGAACGCUGGCGGUAGGCCUAACACAUGCAAGUCGAACGGCAGCACAGUAAGAGCUUGCUCUUACGGGUGGCGAGUGGCGGACGGGUGAGGAAUACAUCGGAAUCUACUUUUUCGUGGGGGAUAACGUAGGGAAACUUACGCUAAUACCGCAUACGACCUACGGGUGAAAGCAGGUGAUCUUCGGACCUUGCGCGAUUGAAUGAGCCGAUGUCGGAUUAGCUAGUUGGCGGGGUAAAGGCCCACCAAGGCGACGAUCCGUAGCUGGUCUGAGAGGAUGAUCAGCCACACUGGAACUGAGACACGGUCCAGACUCCUACGGGAGGCAGCAGUGGGGAAUAUUGGACAAUGGGCGCAAGCCCGAUCCAGCCAUACCGCGUGGGUGAAGAAGGCCUUCGGGUUGUAAAGCCCUUUUGUUGGGAAAGAAAAGCAGCAGGUUAAUACCCCGCUGUUCUGACGGUACCCAAAGAAUAAGCACCGGCUAACUUCGUG